GUGAAUCAUCGAAUCUUUGAACGCACAUUGCGCCCGGCAGUAAUCUGCCGGGCAUGCCUGUCCGAGCGUCAUUUCAACCCUCGAACCUCUGUUUCGUUAGCGAAGCUCAGGGUCGGCGUUGGGGCGCUACGGCGAGUCUUCGCGACCCCGUAGGCCCUGAAAUACAGUGGCGGUCCCGCCGCGGUUGCCUUCUGCGUAGUAAGUCUCUUUUGCAAGCUCGCAUUGGGUCCCGGCGGAGGCCUGCCGUCAAACCACUAUAACUCCAGAUGGUUUGACCUCGGAUCAGGUAGGGUUACCCGCUGAACUUAAGCAUAUCAAUAAGCGGAGGA
RNAcentral lists this unclassified non-coding RNA (329 nucleotides) under Scedosporium sp. RNAcentral's name for it is "partial contains 5.8S ribosomal RNA, internal transcribed spacer 2, and large subunit ribosomal RNA". The stretch from base 1 to 71 matches the Rfam family "5.8S ribosomal RNA", at positions 84 to 154 of the family's 154-position model. Lineage: Eukaryota; Fungi; Ascomycota; Sordariomycetes; Microascales; Microascaceae. The record is from RNAcentral.